RNAcentral lists this ribosomal RNA (831 nucleotides) under uncultured bacterium. RNAcentral's name for it is "partial 16S ribosomal RNA". The record is from RNAcentral.
AGGGACCCAACGACUAGUAGACAUCGUUUACGGCGUGGACUACCAGGGUAUCUAAUCCUGUUUGCUACCCACGCUUUCGAGCCUCAGUGUCAGUAUGAUGCCAGAAGGCUGCCUUCGCCAUCGGUAUUCCUCCAGAUCUCUACGCAUUUCACCGCUACACCUGGAAUUCUACCUUCCUCUCACCUACUCUAGCCUAACAGUUUCAGAUGCAGUUCCCAGGUUAAGCCCGGGGAUUUCACAUCUGACUUAUCAAGCCACCUACGCUCGCUUUACGCCCAGUAAUUCCGAUUAACGCUUGCACCCUCUGUAUUACCGCGGCUGCUGGCACAGAGUUAGCCGGUGCUUAUUCUGCAGCUAAUGUCAUCGUCCACGGGUAUUAACCGAGGAGUCUUCUUCACUGCUUAAAGUGCUUUACAACCAAAAGGCCUUCUUCACACACGCGGCAUGGCUGGAUCAGGGUUUCCCCCAUUGUCCAAUAUUCCCCACUGCUGCCUCCCGUAGGAGUCCGGGCCGUGUCUCAGUCCCGGUGUGGCUGAUCAUCCUCUCAGACCAGCUACAGAUCGUCGCCAUGGUAGGCCUUUACCCCACCAUCUAGCUAAUCCGACUUAGGCUCAUCUAAUAGCGAGAGCAGUAAACUGCCCCCUUUCUCCCGUAGGUCGUAUGCGGUAUUAAUUCGAGUUUCCCCGAGCUAUCCCCCACUACUAGGUAGAUUCCUAAGUAUUACUCACCCGUCCGCCGCUCGACGCCUACCAGCAAGCUGGUAUCGUUUCCGCUCGACUUGCAUGUGUUAAGCCUGCCGCCAGCGUUCAAUCUGAGCCAGGAUCAAACUCU